CUAGUUAAGCAGGUUUUCGUUCUAGAUUUACACCGGUUAUCGUGAGCAUUUUUGCAUCAUGAUCCUGGUGUAAUUUGAGAAUGAAACCAGAAUUAUUUCUGUCA
This 104-nucleotide microRNA precursor is filed under the name Haemonchus contortus (barber pole worm). RNAcentral's name for it is "microRNA hco-mir-5946b precursor". Lineage: Eukaryota; Metazoa; Nematoda; Chromadorea; Rhabditida; Trichostrongylidae. The record is from miRBase by way of RNAcentral.